AUACGUAGGGGGCGAGCGUUGUCCGGAAUGACUGGGCGUAAAGGGCGUGUAGGCGGCCGAUUAAGUCUGGAGUGAAAGUCCUGCAUUCAAUGUGGGAAUUGCUUUGGAGACUGGUUGGCUUGAGUGCGGAAGAGGUAAGUGGAAUUCCCAGUGUAGCGGUGAAAUGCGUAGAGAUUGGGAGGAACACCAGUGGCGGAGGCGACUUGCUGGGCCGUAACUGACGUUGAGGCGCGAGAGCGUGGGGAGCGAACAGGAUUAGAUACACUGGUAGUUCGCGCGGUAAACGAUGAAUGCUAGGUGUUGCGGGGGUCGACCCCUGCAGUGCCGGAGUAAACACAAUAAGCAUUCCGCCUGGGGAGUACGGCCGCAAGGUUGAAACUCAAAGGAAUUGACGGGG
Molecule: ribosomal RNA, 397 nt
Filed under: uncultured bacterium
Lineage: Bacteria
Description: partial 16S ribosomal RNA
Rfam family: Bacterial small subunit ribosomal RNA
Source: RNAcentral